This 301-nucleotide ribosomal RNA is filed under the name uncultured bacterium. Its description in RNAcentral is "partial 16S ribosomal RNA". It matches the Rfam family "Bacterial small subunit ribosomal RNA", at positions 509 to 807 of the family's 1533-position model. The record is from RNAcentral.
CAGCCGCCGCGGUAACACGAAGGGUGCAAGCGUUACUCGGAAUUACUGGGCGUAAAGCGUGCGCAGGCGGUUUGUUAAGACAGAUGUGAAAUCCCCGGGCUCAACCUGGGAACUGCCUUUGAUACUGGAGAUCUUGAGUUCGGAAGAGGUUGGUGGAACAGCUAGUGUAGAGGUGAAAUUCGUAGAUAUUAGCUAGAACACCAGUGGCGAAGGCGGCCAACUGGUCCGAUACUGACGCUGAGGUGCGAAAGCGUGGGGAGCAAACAGGAUUAGAUACCCCCGUAGUCCCUGUCUCUUAUAC